Chenopodium quinoa (quinoa) is the source of this 395-nucleotide long non-coding RNA. RefSeq lists it as uncharacterized. The record is from RefSeq and is a predicted model, not a curated record. The transcript is spliced from 2 exons. NCBI's taxonomy places the organism in Eukaryota, Viridiplantae, Streptophyta, Magnoliopsida, Caryophyllales, Amaranthaceae.
GAACAUUAAGGGAAGGUCACCAAGCUCGUAUUGGUUCACUGGCUUGGAACAGAAACAUCCUCACCAAAUAGUUGGUAUCGGCUAGAGUUUCCGGGGCCUGAUAGUUGGUACCAGCUAGCAUUUUCGGGGGCCUAUAUAGAGGGUACCAGUUUCAAUUUCCGGGACCUAAGCAAGGGUACCUGUUCAAAAUUCCAGGGCCUAAUUAAGGGUACUAGUUCAAAAUUCUAAGGCCUAACACAAGACACCAGUUCUAAAUUUCAGGACUAACACAAGGGACCGGAUUGGAGUUUCGGGACCCGAUGCAAGGUAAGAUACAAUGGGAGAUUAAGUUCGUCUUCCCGCGAGACCGAAACUUAAUCUGUCUAGAAAUAAAAAAUAAGAAAAUUUGUUAUCCA